RNAcentral lists this ribosomal RNA (264 nucleotides) under uncultured archaeon. RNAcentral's name for it is "partial 16S ribosomal RNA". It matches the Rfam family "Archaeal small subunit ribosomal RNA", at positions 717 to 982 of the family's 1478-position model. The record is from RNAcentral.
ACACGACUACAUUAGAUACCCCCGUAGUCCCAGCCCUAAACGAUGCGCGUUAGGUGUAUCGGUGACCACGAGUCACCGAGGUGCCGAAGGGAAACCGUGAAACGUGCCGCCUGGGAAGUACGGUCGCAAGGCUGAAACUUAAAGGAAUUGGCGGGGAGCACCACAACAGGUGGAGCCUGCGGUUUAAUUGGACUCAACGCCGGGAAGCUCACCGGAUAGGACAGCAGAAUGAUUGCCGGGCUGAAGACCCUGCAUGACUAGCUG